AGAGUUUGAUCCUGGCUCAGGACGAACGCUGGCGGCGUGCUUAACACAUGCAAGUCGAACGGUAAGGCCCUUCGGGGUACACGAGUGGCGAACGGGUGAGUAACACGUGGGUAAUCUGCCCUGCACAUCGGGAUAAGCCUGGGAAACUGGGUCUAAUACCGAAUAGGACCACAGAACACAUGUCCUGUGGUGGAAAGCUUUUGCGGUGUGGGAUGGGCCCGCGGCCUAUCAGCUUGUUGGUGGGGUGAUGGCCUACCAAGGCGACGACGGGUAGCCGGCCUGAGAGGGUGUCCGGCCACACUGGGACUGAGAUACGGCCCAGACUCCUACGGGAGGCAGCAGAAGGG
RNAcentral lists this ribosomal RNA (347 nucleotides) under uncultured Mycobacterium sp. Its description in RNAcentral is "bacterial SSU rRNA". It matches the Rfam family "Bacterial small subunit ribosomal RNA", at positions 8 to 359 of the family's 1533-position model. Lineage: Bacteria; Bacillati; Actinomycetota; Actinomycetes; Mycobacteriales; Mycobacteriaceae. The record is from RNAcentral.